AAUGCAAUUAGUUAUCCAGAAACAAAAGCCCAAAUCCUAAUUUUGGAGCCAAAAUCUCUCACUUACCAUUAUCAUACUCUCUCUCUCUCCUACCAAACAAACUAUUUUCAUCCAUCAAUGGCGUCCUCACUUCUACUAUCAACCCCAUUUCUCUCUCCUCAUCAACGAAACCCUAAAUCCCCAAUUUCCAAACCCUCACUUUCUCUCUCCUCAACCUCAAUUUCCCGAAAAUUCGCCCUCUCAGAAUUCAACCGCACAAUUCACUUCACUCCGAAACCUCCAUUAUCACAACGACGGCGAUUUAUCGCCGGAAAUUCCGUCGGAGAUUCCGACGAUUUUCUCAUCGGAGAAGAUUCCGCCACUUUUGAACUUAGCAAGCAGAAGAUAUCUUCUUGGGUUUACUUUACGUUGAUUUUGGGAGUUGUGUUGUUCGCGCUUAAUUUUCUUUGGAUUGAUAAUUCUACUGGUUUUGGCAAGUAUUUUAUUGAUGCUCUUGAGAGUAUUUUUCAGAGUCCCGAGGUUGUGUUGCUGAGCCUUACUGUCAUAUUUGCUGCUGUUCACAGUGGAUUGGCUAGUUUUAGGGCUGUGGGUGAGAAAAUUAUAGGAGAGCGUGCUUUCCGUGUCCUAUUUGCAGGAGUAUCUCUUCCACUAGCUGUUAGCACUGUGGUCUAUUUCAUUAACCAUAGAUAUGAUGGGAUACAAUUAUGGCAGCUUCAAGGUGUUCCUGGAGUACAUCAGCUAGUGUGGUUAUCUUCAUUCAUCUCAUUCCUUUUCCUCUAUCCGUCAACCUUUAAUUUGUUAGAAGUAGCAGCUGUUGACAAGCCGAAAUUGCAUCUUUGGGAAACAGGAAUCAUGAGAAUUACACGCCAUCCACAGAUGGUUGGACAGGUAAUCUGGUGUCUUGCUCACACAAUUUGGAUUGGGAACUCUGUGGCAGUUGCCGCCUCCCUUGGCUUGAUUGGGCACCAUUUAUUUGGCGUUUGGAAUGGGGAUAGACGGUUGGCUUUACGGCAUGGGGAUGCUUUUGAGAUGGUGAAGAAACGGACAAGUAUCAUUCCAUUUGCUGCUAUAAUUGAUGGACGGCAAAGAUUACCAAGAGACUAUUACAAAGAAUUUAUCCGGGUCCCAUAUCUGGCAGUGACUGCAGUCACCCUAGGUGCUUAUUUUGCUCACCCACUUAUGCAGUCAGCCAGUUUUCGACUCCACUGGUAGGAGCAAACGGGUUUUUAUUCAAUAAAAACUGAUAAGUUCCAUGAUGUAACCAUAAGUUCACCACCAAAGAAAGCAUCUAAAGAAAGAUUGUUGCUCACUGUAGCUGCCAAUACUUCACUCAUGCUGUCGAUACUUGGUACCACCUUCUUAAUCGCAUGAUGUUCCUUAGUGUGAAAGACUAGCUUGCACAAUGGAGAAAUGUGUAUUGGCAUGCACCUGAGUAGAUUUGCACAUGACAAUUUGUAGAAGCAUGAUGCAGCAACUGUUGGCCUCCUAUCGCAGCCUAGGGUGGCUGACAGUGAUGUUCAUCUGAUCUGACAAUGACCUGGUUGUGCAUGAGAUUACUAUCUAUCUUGUUAAGAAGUUGUUAAAAUGGAAAGACUUACCUGCAUCCAUCAACAUGAGAUUUGGCCAAGCCUAUGGAAUAUGGAAUUUUUUUACAAGGCUUGAUGUCGAUUGUGGACAAGAGAGGACCAAAAAGGUGAAACCUUCUUGCGGGCGAGUUUGCAGUUUCAGGCUGCUCAGUUCGAUGAUGGUUGUUUUGGGUUGAUAUGUUGGUUAAUGGUGCUUCUUUUCCUUUAAUUGCUUAUCUAAUGAGCUGCUGAAGUUCAAGAUGUUAACUGUAAUUAUAAGGGUAACUUAAACUAUAUUAACUAAUAAGGGUAACUUUUAAACAAAAAGUAGGGACUUUAACUCUAAUGGGUGUGACUUAACAAAACAUAUUCAACACUAAAUAUAAUAAGGGUAACUUAUCAACGAAAAUCGGUUACUUUUAACUCAGUCUCUAAUAAGUGUAACUUAGAAAAACAUAAUCAUGACUUUUAACUAUAACGAGGGUAAACAUAAUGAGGGUGAAUCCAGUUUUGAGCAUAGUGUUGUUACUAAGUUGAUUUUCUAUCCUAUAUUGUAUUGGUACAGAGUACAGACUUCAUUGAUUUGUUUUGAGAGUUGUUUCUAAGUUCUUGGUACGCAUAACUUUUUUGGGCUUAUAUGAAAAAAUAUUGCCAUCACAAAACAAUACACAUAAUACACAACAGUUACAUUCAAAUUCUUACAAAGAAAUAUAGUCAUGCUGGUAGCUGAACAAGUACUGAAAGAGUGUGGGGGAGCUACCGCGGUUAAUUAAGGUCAUGGCGAAGAUGCUUAGAAAUAAAUCAAAUGAAGAUACAUGGCUGAGAAUAUUGUCAAAGUUGCAAUCACCAUCUGAUCAUUAGCUGCAGCCCACGAAAGAAGUGUUCGAUGUUUUCAGAGUAGUAGUGUAUAAUGAAUCAGAUGACAUCCUUAAACGUGACCAUGAGAUUUGCCAAGACUAUUUGAUCGAGUAUUGGAAAGCCAAAGAUCUGAUUAGUAAUGCGCACAUGUUUCCAAGGACACGGAAAGAAGGACGAAAUUUGAAUGUAACUGGUUAUUGCUGGUAAGACCAAAUGGCAGUCAGUAUAGCAAAUCUAGAUAGUAACUGGUUAUUGCUGUAUAUACCUGCAAAUCCUGAAUGUGGUAAGGUCUCCACAUUGUUUACGAGCAAGAUCACAUCUUGAGAUACAGUGGAAUCGAAUUGCACUUGUGAUUGCUAAAGAAGUAGCUACACCGCCAAUGGAUGCAUAUAGCGGAAUUCAGAUCCUUCAUUUUAACCAUUGGUGCUCAACUGCUCAUGUUGUAAAUCAUCUUUGUCAGAUAGACAUCUCCAACUGCUCAGCUAAACGACAUCUUAAGCAUUCGGAUGGUACAGACAUUUGAUUUAAUCAAGCUUGUGCUUAAGCGAGUUUGUGCAUUAGAGAUGGUCAGAAAUGUUCUCAGCUUACUACCCAAAUGUGCUAAAUGUUAUCAGCUAAGAACAAGUAUUUACUAUCAAAAUGUGGAGACUAUCCAUUUAUGAUUACCCUAAAAUACUUGUUCUAGUUGAUGUUGAAUGACAAUAUUCUCUUACUAAAAAUAAACGGAGUCUUAUUAGAGCUAAUUUUAUAUAUCGAAGCUAAGGCAAGUACGUCUUUUGGGGUUCGAUUAGAGUCAUAAACUCGCCAAAAGGAGAAGAUGGAGUUGAAAGUGUUUGAAAAUAGAUAGUUUUCAAAUCUACACAAGAAAUUAUGAAUAAAGAAGUUGUUCAAAAACAAAGAAUUUAGAAUUCGGUGUGUCCUAAUAAUUUGAAAGCACUGACUUUAUAAAAUGAUGCAAAACAAACCAGCAAGCCAAACUAGUAUUUAUUAGAUAUAAUCGUUAUUGCUUUAUUUUAAGGAUUUUUUGUCCCAAACUACCUUUAACUUUCAAGUUUUUGCGAGAAACUACCUUAUAAAAAAAUUGUUGUCAUAAACUACCUUACUUUACAAUUUUGUUGUUGACAGCUACCUUAUGCGGUUUCCGGCGUUAACUUUUGUUUUUUCAGUUCAAAAUUGUGGGAAAAAAAAAUUACCCUUGUGGGAAUUGAGGAGGGUGAUUGUUUCAAUUUUAGUUUAAGUAGAAGAGGAAUUUAAUGGUGGAUUGGUGGUAUAAAGUGUCACAUAGAUAUGAGGGAGAGAGCGCGCGCACACCGGAAAAUGAGGAAAUUAGGGUGAGGAAAAUUGAAAAAAGGGUUUGAAGAGGUCAAGUGAUAUAAUGUGACAAUAAAAAGCGGAAAAAACAAAAGUCAACGUCGGAAAUCGGCCUAAGGUAGUUGUCAACAACAAAAUGGUAAAAGUAAGGUAGUUUGGGACAACAAUUUUUUUAUAAGGUAAUUUCUCGCAAAAACAUAAAAGUUAAAGGUAGUUUGGGACAAAAAACCCUUAUUUUAAUUAAAUUUCCUCCAAAAUGAGCCCCUUUCUUUUAUGUGUCCUAUGAGGUUGCUCCUCUUAACAACCCCAAGGCCAUGCUUCCACCAGAAUAGAGAUAAUCAAUAAGGCAAUGAAUGUAUUAUAACCUUCAUCAUUAAAGCUUGAAUCCUCGUAACCGAUGAGGAAGUUAAGUUACAAGUAGAAGAAAAAACAUUUAUGAAUUUCACUCGUUGCCUUAUCGAUCGAGCUUGCCCAGGGUGCAGGCUAACGGACGAAAGCUCUGACUAACGUUUCAAUCCCGAUCGGGUGAGUUUCAUAUUUAUUAUAUUUUAUCUUUACUCUAAUAGAGAGCCCACUAUAAACACAAUGGGCCGACCCACUUAAUUUUAACCCGAAAAAAGAGCAAAAUUGAAAUAUGUUUAGGGAGAUUGCUAGCAUAGACAAUUUGGCACGUUCUAUUCCAAGAAAUGAUUCAUCGAAAAAUUGAGUUACAAAUAAUAUGAACACAUUAAAAUCUAGUCGUACAUACAACCCUUCUUGGGAAUACUUUUUUUGACCCAACUUUUCCUUGGCUCAUUCUAGGCACAAGCCAUAAGGCCUGCUGUAUUUCAAGCUCUCUAUUUUAUUAUUUUGGGUAAUUCUUAAGUUUUCGCGUACUUAAACUUAAGGUGCGUUCUCUUCACCAUAAUCCGAGCCCGGAAUUGUUUCGAACCCGGGCUUCGGUGUCGGGUUGGUAACCAUUCAGGUAGCUUAGCUAUGAUUUAGAAACAAUAACGCCCUCCGCAAGGCGCAAACCAUUAUUUUUUAGUCGACGUUUUUCAAAUUCAUUGGACUUGUUCACAGUUGAAAGGCGUAACCCUGACAAGGAAUGGUGGUUAAAACAGAGAAGAUUACUUUUGCUACUGAGCAAAGUAGUUCAAACAAACAGGACGAUGAUUUGUUGGCAUGUGAUGUCUUUGAGUGUUCAUCUAUCGUUCAAGCUAGCUGUUUGUAAUCACUGGAUGCCAUGGAUGUUUGUAGAGUUUCUACUAACACUAAUAUCAGGAGGAUCUUGAGCCAAUCCACAGAAGGUGGCCUUGCCCGGAGCAGGGUGGUGUAGAAAAGACAUGGAGGGAAAAUCAGAAGGCUAUCUACAAUGAAAUUGAUAUUCUAAGCCUAAAAAACCAGUUUGAUACAGUUUUACCAGCUUCUGAACUGUCGCACUCAAAAUUUUGGCUGCUAUCCUUACAUACAUAAAAGAGAUGGCGUAAAGCUUCACACCUUCACUGUUUGAAGCUCAGUAAGCUUCACCUUGGGAUACCACGCGUGCCUUUAUUUUUUUUUGGGUCUUCAAUAUUGCUUUGCUUGUUAAGGAGUGUCCUAUUCUCAAUUCAUUUUCAUAUAAAUCUCAUUAGACUAAUCAUUUUAGAUAUUAUGAAGCUGUCCUUGGUCUUUUUUGUUUUGGUGUCCUCAUAUGUUUUGGAUGAUUCGUGCUGCAUGCCUGCUAUGGAGUUAAUGUUUUAUAGAUUUCAUUGGACAGAGUUCUCAAUACGUCUCUAUGACUGGUACUUUUCUGUUUUUCCUGCUAUAUGGCCCUGAUUCUUAAUGGUUUUUUGUUGCUGUAUGGCUAGAUAAAGACGUCUAUUUUGAAUUCAGGGUAAAAUAUAGCUGUCAGUUAGGGAAUAUCUCUCUGCACUUGCACCCUUGACAGUUGAUAAUAAUUGUACUUUCCUGCAACUAUGAAAAUUCUCUUAUCCUGCACCAGCUCUCUGCUAUUUUUUUUCGCAUGUUGCAUUAGUUGACAGGAAGAUGAUUCUUAGACAUCUUUAAAGUUCUAUCAUCUAUUUAAUGGGAAGGGUACAAUUACCCUCUAUAGAUAACAUUCUGCGAGAAACGGAUCCGUCUUCUCGUAACGCUUUGACUUGGAAGAUGUGAACCUCUCGGUCUCUAAUAUCUAUCUGCUCACUUGUACAGUGGACACAUGCUCUAAAAACAAUACAUGUUGUCCUUGACUAAACUUUGCCAAAACAUAUAGACAUAAUUUUUUUCCAGUCAUUUAUUUGUCUAAGAGCUUGUGUUUAUCUAGGGUGUCACUUUGAGUUUUGGUACUUCAGAGGUGUUUUUUUAAUGAUAAGGAUAAUGACCAUGAGUCCAUGACCAGACCCCUGUUUUAUACGGUUUCUUGGUCCAGUAUUUGCGGGUUAGACACUUGGGAGCAGUGGGAAAAGGAUCAGGGAUCCCUACCUCCAACUUGUUCCAAUCACCUUCAGUUGGCGAGAUUCAGACCCCAUACCGUUCAUAUGUGAGGUAAGAGUGUUAACAAGUGAACCAAACCAAAAGCUUACUGUAAUUUACAGUGAUUUGGGAUGAUGAUAUAUGUGAAACCUAAAGCUUACUGUAAUUUACCUAAAUUAGCUGUUACUUGUUUGGCAGUAAUUAUUUUUCUGCUGAUGCUUUGUUUCUACAACUCAGUUUUUUCAUCUGUUCAAUCUGAUAAGUGUUUUAUUGCCUUUUAUGUCUUUUAUGGUAGGGUACACAGGCUUCUUUGCCUCCUAGAAAUAUUGACUAGAGGCACUGAACCAUGCCAAGCCAUGCUAUUGGGUUGCUUUCAAGUUUCGUCCGUGUACGAAUCUCUGGUUGUCCUACACCGCGAUUGUGUGGCAGUAAAUUAAUCAUCUUUAACUUGUUAAAGGUCAUUAAAGAGUUUUCGAUAGAUUAAGAGCGUGUAUGACAACAACCUUGUAGGUAGAUUUUAAAGAUUUGAGCAAGUCGAAACACUACUGUCAAAAGACCAACUCAACCAAAAGCUUAAAUUGAUGGUUGAGGCCAUGUUGGCUCCGAUACCAUGUCAAAGGACCAACUCAACCAAAAGCUUAAGCUGAUGGUUGAAGCCCAGGAAUAGAUCUAUACUCUAUCAACUACUAAAGAUGAAAAUGGUGUUUGCUCAACGAUAUCGAAUUCAAUGUAGCGACUUGUUAAGAAGAAAGCUCCAAACUUUUCUUGUAAAGAAUUCUAAAUAUGUAAAGAUAUUGAUCCAGGGAAGCUAGUUGGUGAUCUAGUUUCUUCAAUCUUCCAUUUUGGAUAGAGUAUUACUGUAUUAUCCAAAAUUUGUCAUGUUCUUUUGCCAUUUUAUUGGAAGAGAUUUUGAGUUCACCUGUGA
Molecule: RNA transcript, 7092 nt
Organism: Beta vulgaris subsp. vulgaris (sugar beet)
Lineage: Eukaryota; Viridiplantae; Streptophyta; Magnoliopsida; Caryophyllales; Amaranthaceae
Gene name: 15-cis-zeta-carotene isomerase, chloroplastic
Exons: 10
Source: RefSeq, a predicted model, not a curated record